AUGAAAAGACAUGCAAGAAUCUUAAAUGUUCUAAGUGAAAGAAGCCAAUCUGAAAGGCUACAUACUAUAUGAUUCCAACUAUAUGACAUUCUGGAAAAGGCAAAACUUUGGAGAAAGUAAAGAGAUCACUGGUUGCUAGGGUUGGCAGAGAGAGGGAGAUAAAUAGAUGGGGCACAGGAUUUUUAGGGCAGUGAAAGUACUCUGUACGAUACCAUAAUGAGGGAUACAUGUCAUUAUACAUUUGUCCAAACCCAUAGAAUGUACAACACCCAGAGUGAACUGAAACUUGAACUGUAGACUUUGGGUGACGAUGUGUCGUGGUAGGUUCAUCAGUUGUAACAAACAUACCAGUCUGGUGGGGGCUGUUGAUGGUGGGCAAGGCUGUGUGUGUGAGAGAGUAUACAGAUACUGUCUCCUCAAUUUUUCUGUGAAUCUUAAACUUCUCUAAAAAUAAUAAAGAAAAGAUAAUUUUUAAUCAUGAUUUAUUCCCAAGAACAUACUAGAUACUUUCUCCUUCACCAAAAACUUGUGGCUGGUACUAGGGCAGGGAAAGGAUUUUUUUCUGAGUUUCCCCAAAUACAGAUCGAUCAUUUACGUCUUGUUACUAAGGAGAAAAGCAUUUUAUACUCAUUAAAGUGUAAAUUUACUUGGGUCGAAUUCGUCAUCAAAAAACACUGGAAAGUCUUUCCAUUUAAUUUUGACUUAAACUUCAUUCAGUUUAGUGUAUAUAGUUAAUAUUUGUUGUUUUCGUUAGAGACUUUCAAACCUUUCUUAUACAGUGACUUCAAAGUUCCUGGAAGUUUUCCAUGAAAAACCAAAGGCAGACAAAUUUUGAAACUUAAAUAGAUUUGGGAAGUAUUUGGACUGUAUAUCCUUCUUGCAGCAUAGUAAAGUUUAUGAGAAUUUGCUCAGAUACACACACACACAAACACACACACACACAGCCACAUACACACAAAUGACAGAAUGACCACAAACUUUUUGCUUUGUUCAACCCAAACUUCCAACUUCUUUGGCCACAGAUCCUUUUUUUUGAAACCAUAUUCUUUAUUAUCCACUUUGAGAGGUAUUGCUCUACAACGCACGGCACAGCAUUGCUGAAUUAGUGUGGCCAGCUCACUAGAAGGUAGUCAUAAAAUGGAAGAUUCAGAGCAAAGAUGAUGAGUGAAAAUAUUAGAAUGUUUAUUUUUUGCGUUAGAGACAGUUUUCAAGUUAUAUUAGAGCUGAAUAAGUGUAUUCAACUCUCUGCUUUCAAAAAACGCUGGUACUUUUGGGUCAUUUUUGGAUGGGUCGUUUGUCAGCAGGAGGGUGUCGUUACAGGGCAUUGGUGAUGUUAGUGCAUUACUGCCAACUCUCCAUGCUCAGCUCACUCUCCUUUCAGGGCUCCCUCAGGCUGGACGAGAUGACGGUAAAUUCUGUGAGUCUGCGAGAUGGCUAGAAUCUUUGAGGAGCCCCCUCUGCACCUUACCAAGCUUAUGGGCUUUGGUCCUUAUUGUGAAACAUUAGUGACCAGCAGUCAUUGCUUCACCCUUGGGCCCCUGUGACCUCUGAUCAGACUCAGUUGGCUGUAAAUCUAAGACCACUUUUACAGGAAAAAAAAAUUACAUAUUUUGUUAUUCAAAUAGGAUGAUACUAACUUUGGUUAUCCACUCCUACCUUGAGAUUGUAAAAGGCACUGACAAACAUGACUAUAGAGUGUAUGAACUGUGUCCUAUGAAACAGAGCUUGUUAAUAAAAUAAAUACCUCUCAGCUGUAGGUGAUCUCAUAUGUCCAUCUGGGCUCCCUGGGUUGCCCUGAGCCUGACAAAGAGGCCCAUGGCCUGGGGACCAGGACAGCAGCAGCCAUACAAGGCCAGGGAGCGCACCGCAAAAUUGUGAGGGAAGAAUAUUACAGCCAGGCCCAGAUGCAUCGUUUCUUCCAGUCACUGCUCUUCUGUGAAAAUUCUUUUUAAACAAACACAUAUUUUUGUCCCCAGUAUAGUGCUUGAUGCUUUCCCUACUAGGAAGUUAAUAGAAAAUUUGUUUUCCUAGCAUCUCUUUCGGAUGAACUUUCACCAUUGCAGAGUCACUCAGAAAAGAGUUCAUUCUGCGAACACUACUCCUGGAUCCGUGUCCCCCAAAUGUCAUUUGGCCCACAAUAUGGAAGAACUCACCAGCAGUGAUGGAUGAACUUGUCUCUGACACUUCCUGGAGCCUGAGAGGAAUUUCAACCUCUGCCGAACUCUUCCCUACAGCUGCAUAAGUUCACGGGGAGGAAGACGAAUCCUCUACCCUCUGGGAAUAAAAGCUUUCAGAUGCUGAUGUUGGAUAAUGCCCUGCAGAAAGGACAGGCAACUCAAACUGAGAAGAGGUGUUGAUUUUAGUGAAGGCGAAUCACUGUCCCUUGCAGAAUGGAAAUCUCCUAAUGCAAUCAACUUACCAACAAGUGACUGAUAAGUCUCUUCCAAUGAAGAUCUUCUGUUUCACUCUUUUGAUGAUUUGCAUCUUCUGGACAUCAAGUUUGACAAAUGAGGGGCUACCAGCCUCUACCUGCCUGUUUGUGGGGGUCUCCAGAAUGAGGCCUCUGUCAGGUGGCGGGACAGGUGCUCUUGCUGGCACUUGUACUGUGAUGAAGUGGGGAAGAACAAGGCCUUGAUAAUCCUCCACCACUGGGAGAGGAACAGAAUGGGACAAUGAUGGAUAGAAAUAUUUUCUGUUUUCCUUCUUUGAAGAAUGCAAAGAAGGUAUUUCUAUGUGAGACCCACCGUGGAUUUCUUCCAUCACUGUUCAUCUGCUCAAGAAACACACACAUUCUCAGACCUACAGAUGCAUAUCUGAGCUUCAUCAGGUGGUGGUAAGAAUGGAUUAUUCUGGAGAUAGGGAAGUUACACUAGGAAGAACCCCAGUGCACACGGGAUGGCAAGGAUGGUAUCAAUCGCCCAGCAAGCGGAGCUGGAGCUCAGCCAGGCAAAAUCUCCAGAGGAACCACCGGUAUCUGUAGAAGGCAAUUUGAAAUCAGCACUGUGAUUGGAAUUACUGAGUUCCCUGAAGUAAUUAAAAGUUUGGAAAUGCCAUCGUACAAAGUCAGGAAACUUUUUAUGCCUCUGGGAUAAGGGCCCCAGAUCCAAUUAUGCUGAUGGCACUCCAGGAAGACUUUUUUUCCUCCUUCCUUUGCUCCUGCUGGAACUUUGCAUUCUUAGGUGACUGAAAGACAUCAGGGGAAGCAUUUCCAUGUCCUGCUUGAAUUUCUGCAAACUUCAAAAUGCCUAAAAUUCUUGAAAAGAGCAGCUGUAGAGAUAAGAAUUAUUUAGGAAUGCCAUAUGUUCAUGGCAAUAUGGAACUAGCAGCUGUGGACACUUGAGGGAACUUCCACCUGGAGCCCUGGGGAGACUUCAAGGAGGAGGCAAUUUCUUGCCAGGCUUUGAACAAUGGCUGAGAAUUUACACACGAAGACACAGCUGUGUUAUACUUUCAAUGGAAUAACUUCUGGACUGAAAUAGUGGCCUUCUUGAAAACCAGACAAGCUGUAUCUGGGUCUUGGUGAUAUGGUCCUACUGUUGGAAAUGUAGUGUCACAGCUUUCAGAUGCUGAUGUUGGAUAAUGCCCUGCAGAAAGGACAGGCAACUCAAACUGAGAAGAGGUGUUGAUUUUAGUCGAGGAGAAUCACUGUCCCUUGCAGAAUGGAAAUGUCUAAUGCAAUCAACUUACCAACAAGUGACUGAUAAGUCUCUUCCAAUGAAGCUCCCACCACCCAAAACUCUGAGGACUCAGCCUAACAUCCUGUCACCACCACCACCUCUCAGCCUUCCAGUGUACUCACCGUCUUCCUGAUUCUGGUAAGUGAAGCUACACUGCGCAUACAUUAUUUCUACUUUCUGGAGACUGUAUAUUUAUCAUAUCAUACCUGCUUUUACUAUAUGAGUUACUUUA
Molecule: non-coding RNA, 3909 nt
Organism: Equus caballus (horse)
Lineage: Eukaryota; Metazoa; Chordata; Mammalia; Perissodactyla; Equidae
Source: RefSeq, a predicted model, not a curated record